This 253-nucleotide ribosomal RNA is filed under the name uncultured bacterium. Its description in RNAcentral is "partial 16S ribosomal RNA". It matches the Rfam family "Bacterial small subunit ribosomal RNA", at positions 524 to 776 of the family's 1533-position model. The record is from RNAcentral.
UACGUAGGUCCCGAACGUUGCGCGAAUUUACUGGGCGUAAAGGGUCCGUAGGCGGUUUAGCAAGUGGUUGGUGAAAUUUCACGGCUCAACCGUGAAACUGCCUUCCAAACUGCUAAACUUGAGGCAGGGAGAGGUCGGCGGAAUUCCCGGUGUAGCGGUGAAAUGCGUAGAUAUAGGGAGGAACGCCAGUGGCGAAGGCGGCCGACUGGAACUGUCCUGUUGCUGAGGGACGAAAGCUAUGGUAGCAAACCGG